This 2431-nucleotide unclassified non-coding RNA is filed under the name Haliotis rubra (blacklip abalone). Its description in RNAcentral is "protein unc-93 homolog A-like, transcript variant X1". Lineage: Eukaryota; Metazoa; Mollusca; Gastropoda; Lepetellida; Haliotidae. The record is from RNAcentral.
GUUAUUUGGUCAUGUGACAUGUCAAGACUGACGCAUCAUACUAGUUCGUUGUGCAAGCUGAAUUCGUUCAUUUUCCACACUGUGCCCCGAUGAGACGAACGACACUGUUAUCGCUUAUGGUCAAAGGUCCCUUUGUCUCAAAGAAAAUCUUGGCAGUUGGCAGUGUAUACCACGACCAGCCAUAGAAGCCUUGCCACGCUGAUCAGCUGUUGUUUACAGUUGGGGUAACUACCGACGCUGAACGCUGAGCGAACCGUGUUGAGUAUUCCGUAAAGCCAUCUGCGCAAUCCUUUCACGGGUAAAGAUUCUGCAAUAUGGUGGCGGGAAAGACGUGUGAUGGUCAGGGUCUGACGUCACAAACGGUGACCGUUGCCACUGACAACGGCAGAUUGGCUCCAGAUACAGACGUCAGUAAUCAAAGGUCAUCGCGGGUUGAAAUGCCAGACAUCGACAGAAGUGACGAUUGUUCCGAUGCUUGUAACAAAUCACAGGACGACAACCAGCAUAGCAAUAUGGCGGCGUCUUCGAAUGGUCCUGCACACACCCCAGACCACAAGAAGCAAGACAACGUGCAUGCAGACCCCUUCAGCAACACCGAUUACACCGACUCAGUCGGUAGUGCAGAUAGUACAAAGUUCUUGCUGCCUCUGAAAGACAAUGACUCCAUCGUUCACGACUGCGCUCAGUCAAGCCUCGAUAUUUCUGUCUCCCCCAAAAUCUCCAUCAACGAUGUUGUGAUAGACUGCUACGAAAACAGGAAUUACACAGACUCCGUAACGUCUCACUUCUCCGCAAGCCAACCUCUCCUCAACACAACGGACAACAUCCGUAACUUCGUCAAAGAAGUAGAGACCCCCGUCCUUGGUCUUAUCGACCACCCAGGGUUUAUGUCCUCACAGAGAGAUCUCUCAAGCACGAGCAACAUCACCUUCGCCUGCCAGAAAGCCUUGAAGUACCUUCAGGACGAACGGGUGGCUAGCUCUCUUCUUCUACCCGGAAGCGCCAAGGACGUGUCGAAGCUGCCUCCAGAAGACGGGAAUGGUCCUUAUGAUGUUGACCACAACAUCGUUCCAAGCGGGCGCCACACACGCAACCUAAUAGCCCUCAGUGUUAGCAUAACCAUGGCUUUCAUCGCCAGCGGAACUCUCCGCAACCUCCAGACAAGUCUGAACCACGAAGGGGGCGUUGGCGUAAUAUCUCUGGCAAUGACCUUCAUGGGGUUCAUGAUUGGAAGCGUAUUCAGUCCGUUCCUUGUCCAGAACUUUCACCCCUACCGCGCCCUCCUUGUAUCCAUGCUUCCCUACCUUCUGUACAUAGCUGCUAACUUCUACCCCGCAAUGUGGCUUAUGACCCCAGUCUCCUUACUAUGGGGGGUCAGCUUUGCGUUGAUGUGGAACGCUAUGAGUACCUACAUCACCUUCCUAGCCAAGGGCUACUCCGAAAAGAAGAAACAAGAUUACGAAAUUGUCCUCAGUCGAUUUUUCGGCAUCUUCUAUCUUGUAUGGCAACUGUACAUGAUCUUUGGCAACCUCAUUGCCUCCCUUGUCCUCACAUACGCCAACCCUACUGGCGCUACCGCUUCCAGUGUGACGUCCAACUAUUCUGUCAUUAAUCAGACACUAACCAACCAAUCCACGUAUUCCUUCCCCAAUGAGUCUGUGAUACUAAACUCCUCAUCACCGCCAUCCCAUUUGCUGUGCGGAGCGAAUUACUGCCAUCAUUACACCAUCAGCAGUACAGGGUCAACUGACAAUUCAUUUGCCAAGUAUGUACUUUAUGGCGUGAACUCGGGAGUCAUGCUGUUGGCGGUUCUUAUCGCCUUCUUCCUUUUGGAACCCCUUAACAGUCGGCUUUUUAGUGCCACCAUUUCAUGCAACGUGGUCAAGACGCAGAUUGUCUCCCUUGGCAGGUUCGCCUUAAACCGGAAGUUCCUGUUGCUAUGCCCCCUUCUCCUAUUCAGCCAGAUGCAGGCGGCUUUCGCCAGCGGUGAAAUUGCAAAGGCAUUUGUGACGUGCCCAAUUGGAGUUCACAUGGUUGGGUACACCCUCAUCUGUAUGGGUGUAUCGGGCAGCCUCAGUGCUUACUUAAGCGGGUGGCUGUGUAGAUACGUAGGCCGGACUGUCAUGAUCGGAUCAGUCUCUUGAAUUUAGGUUUGGUAUAUCACCACAAGACACCAUUGUAAGAAUCCUUUCUUCAUGCUGAGUGCGACUAUCAAAUUAAGUCUUCCACCCAUCAUGUCUCUCGUUAACCGAAAAGUCCCCCGUCAGUGACGUCAAAGGGGGAACAUUUUCCGAUUGCGGUCGCUGUUGAUCUUGGCCUGUUGACCCUGAUGGCAAUAUGGACACCCACCCCCGAUUCGCUGGUUGUUAUCUUUGUUCUGAUUGGUCUAUGGGGAGUGAGCGACGGGAUCUGGAUGGCCCAAAGCAACAGU